UGGGUAACCUGCCUCAAAGAGGGGAAUAGCCUCCCGAAAGGGAGAUUAAUACCGCAUAAUAUGUUUAAGUCGCAUGACUUUAACAUCAAAGGAUUUUUCUUUUAAGAAAUUCCACUUUGAGAUGGACCCCGCGGCGCAUUAGCUAGUUGGUGAGGUAACGGCUCACCAAGGCAACGAUGCGUAGCCGACAUGAGGAGGGGUGACGUCCGGGACCCAACUAGUUACGGAACUGAACGACCGACCGGCCCAGACCUCGUACGGGA
RNAcentral lists this ribosomal RNA (263 nucleotides) under uncultured bacterium. RNAcentral's name for it is "partial 16S ribosomal RNA". The stretch from base 1 to 209 matches the Rfam family "Bacterial small subunit ribosomal RNA", at positions 118 to 310 of the family's 1533-position model. The record is from RNAcentral.